RNAcentral lists this ribosomal RNA (253 nucleotides) under uncultured bacterium. RNAcentral's name for it is "partial 16S ribosomal RNA". It matches the Rfam family "Bacterial small subunit ribosomal RNA", at positions 524 to 776 of the family's 1533-position model. The record is from RNAcentral.
UACAGAGGUCUCAAGCGUUGUUCGGAUUCAUUGGGCGUAAAGGGUGUGUAGGUGGCGCUGUAAGUCGGGUGUGAAAUUUCGGAGCUUAACUCCGAAACUGCAUUCGAUACUGCGGUGCUUGAGGACUGGAGAGGAGACUGGAAUUCAUGGUGUAGCAGUGAAAUGCGUAGAGAUCAUGAGGAAGACCAGUGGCGAAGGCGGGUCUCUGGAAAGUUCCUGACACUGAGACACGAAGGCCAGGGGAGCAAACGGG